This 396-nucleotide ribosomal RNA is filed under the name uncultured bacterium. RNAcentral's name for it is "partial 16S ribosomal RNA". It matches the Rfam family "Bacterial small subunit ribosomal RNA", at positions 523 to 918 of the family's 1533-position model. The record is from RNAcentral.
AUACGUAGGGGGCAAGCGUUAUCCGGAUUUACUGGGUGUAAAGGGAGCGUAGACGGUAUGGCAAGCCCGAUGUGAAAACCCGGAGCUCAACUCCGGGAUUGCAUUAGGAACUGUCAAACUAGAGUGUCGGAGAGGCAAGUGGAAUUCCUAGUGUAGCGGUGAAAUGCGUAGAUAUUAGGAGGAACACCAGUGGCGAAGGCGGCUUGCUGGACGAUGACUGACGUUGAGGCUCGAAAGCGUGGGGAGCAAACAGGAUUAGAUACCCUGGUAGUCCACGCCGUAAACGAUGACUACUAGGUGUCGGGUACCACAGGUAUUCGGUGCCGCCGCAACCGCAUUAAGUAGUCCACCUGGGGAGUACGUUCGCAAGAAUGAAACUUAAAGGAAUUGACGGGG